GACGAACGCUGGCGGCGUGUUUAACACAUGCAAGUCGAACGGAAAGGCCCUUCUUUUGUUGGGUGCUCGAGUGGCGAAAGGGUGAGUAACACGUGAGUAACCUGCCCUUGACUUUGGGAUAACUUCAGGAAACUGGGGCUAAUACCGGAUAGGAUCUCCGUCUGCAUGGUGGGGGCUGGAAAGUUUCGUCGUUUGGGGAUGGACUAGGGGCUUAUCAGCUUGUUGGUGGGGUUGUGGCUUACCAAUGCUUUGACGGGUAGUCUGCCUGAGAGGGUGACCGGCCACAUUGGGACUGAGAUACGGCCCAGACUCCUUCGGGAGGCAGCAGUGGGGAAUAUUGCAACAUGGGCGGCAGACUGAUGCAGCAACGCCGCGUGCGGGAUGACGGCCUUCGGGUUGUAAACCGAUUUCGCCUGUGACGAAGAGUGAGUGACGGUGAUGGGUAAAGAAGCACCGGCUAACUACGUG
This 468-nucleotide ribosomal RNA is filed under the name uncultured bacterium. RNAcentral's name for it is "partial 16S ribosomal RNA". It matches the Rfam family "Bacterial small subunit ribosomal RNA", at positions 28 to 507 of the family's 1533-position model. The record is from RNAcentral.